GACGAACGCUGGCGGCGUGCUUAACACAUGCAAGUCGAACGCUGAAGCUCAGCUUUUGUUGGGUGGAUGAGUGGCGAACGGGUGAGUAACACGUGAGUAACCUGCCUCCUUCUUUGGGAUAACGCCCGGAAACGGGUGCUAAUACUGGAUAUUCACUGGUCUUCGCAUGGGGGUUGGUGGAAAGGGUUUUUCUGGUGGGGGAUGGGCUCGCGGCCUAUCAGCUUGUUGGUGGGGUGAUGGGCUACCAAGGCUUUGACGGGUAGCCGGCCUGAGAGGGUGACCGGUCACAUUGGGACGGGGAUACGGCCCAGAGUACUACGGGGGGCGGAAGUGGGGAAUAUUGCAGAAUGGGCGCAAGCCUGAUGCAGCGUGGCCGCGGGAGGGAUGGGGGCCUUAGGGUUGUGAACCUCUUUCGCUCAUGGUCAAGCCGCAACAAUGGUUGUGGUGAGGGUAGUGGGUAAAGAAGCGCCGGCUAACUACGUG
This 483-nucleotide ribosomal RNA is filed under the name uncultured bacterium. RNAcentral describes it as "partial 16S ribosomal RNA". It matches the Rfam family "Bacterial small subunit ribosomal RNA", at positions 28 to 507 of the family's 1533-position model. The record is from RNAcentral.